GGCAGCGCGGGGCAACCUGGCGGCGAGUGGCGAACGGGUGAGUAAUAUAUCGGAACGUGCCCUGGAGUGGGGGAUAACGCAGCGAAAGUUGCGCUAAUACCGCAUACGAUCUAAGGAUGAAAGCGGGGGAUUCGCAAGAACCUCGUGCUCCUGGAGCGGCCGAUAUCUGAUUAGCUAGUUGGUGGGGUAAAGGCCUACCAAGGCAUCGAUCAGUAGCUGGUCUGAGAGGACGACCAGCCACACUGGAACUGAGACACGGUCCAGACUCCUACGGGAGGCAGCAGUGGGGAAUUUUGGACAAUGGGCGCAAGCCUGAUCCAGCAAUGCCGCGUGAGUGAAGAAGGCCUUCGGGUUGUAAAGCUCUUUUGUCAGGGAAGAAACGGUGCGGGCUAAUAUCCUGUGCUAAUGACGGUACCUGAAGAAUAAGCACCGGCUAACUACGUGCCAGCAGCCGCGGUAAUACGUAGGGUGCAAGCGUUAAUCGGAAUUACUGGGCGUAAAGCGUGCGCAGGCGGUUUUGUAAGUUUGUCGUGAAAUCCCCGGGCUCAACCUGGGAAUUGCGAUGAAGACUGCAAGGCUAGAAUCUGGCAGAGGGGGGUAGAAUUCCACGUGUAGCAGUGAAAUGCGUAGAGAUGUGGAGGAACACCGAUGGCGAAGGCAGCCCCCUGGGUCAAGAUUGACGCUCAUGCACGAAAGCGUGGGGAGCAAACAGGAUUAGAUACCCUGGUAGUCCACGCCCUAAACGAUGUCUACUAGUUGUCGGGUUUUAAUUAACUUGGUAACGCAGCUAACGCGUGAAGUAGACCGCCUGGGGAGUACGGUCGCAAGAUUAAAACUCAAAGGAAUUGACGGGGACCCGCACAAGCGGUGGAUGAUGUGGAUUAAUUCGAUGCAACGCGAAAAA
Molecule: ribosomal RNA, 904 nt
Filed under: uncultured bacterium
Lineage: Bacteria
Description: bacterial SSU rRNA
Rfam family: Bacterial small subunit ribosomal RNA
Source: RNAcentral